Molecule: ribosomal RNA, 254 nt
Filed under: uncultured bacterium
Lineage: Bacteria
Description: partial 16S ribosomal RNA
Rfam family: Bacterial small subunit ribosomal RNA
Source: RNAcentral
CACGUAGGGCGCAAGCGUUGUCCGGAAUUAUUGGGCGUAAAGAGCUCGUAGGCGGUCUGUUACGUCUGCUGUGAAAACCCGGGGCUUAACCCUGGGCUUGCAGUGGAUACGGGCAGACUAGAGGCAGGUAGGGGAGAAUGGAAUUCCCGGUGUAGCGGUGAAAUGCGCAGAUAUCGGGAGGAACACCGGUGGCGAAGGCGGCGUUCUGGACUGCAACUGACACUGAGGGAACGAAAGCCAGGGGAGCAAACGGG